RNAcentral lists this transfer RNA (75 nucleotides) under Kaustia mangrovi. RNAcentral's name for it is "Alphaproteobacteria bacterium R1DC25 tRNA-Glu". It matches the Rfam family "tRNA". Rfam says of the family: Transfer RNA (tRNA) molecules are approximately 80 nucleotides in length. Their secondary structure includes four short double-helical elements and three loops (D, anti-codon, and T loops). Further hydrogen bonds mediate the characteristic L-shaped molecular structure. tRNAs have two regions of fundamental functional importance: the anti-codon, which is responsible for specific mRNA codon recognition, and the 3' end, to which the tRNAs corresponding amino acid is attached (by aminoacyl-tRNA synthetases). tRNAs cope with the degeneracy of the genetic code in two manners: having more than one tRNA (with a specific anti-codon) for a particular amino acid; and 'wobble' base-pairing, i.e. permitting non-standard base-pairing at the 3rd anti-codon position. Lineage: Bacteria; Pseudomonadati; Pseudomonadota; Alphaproteobacteria; Hyphomicrobiales; Parvibaculaceae. The record is from RNAcentral.
GGGCCCUUCGUCUAUCGGUUAGGACGCCAGAUUUUCAAUCUGGAAAGACGGGUUCGACUCCCGUAGGGCCCGCCA